Molecule: ribosomal RNA, 253 nt
Filed under: uncultured bacterium
Lineage: Bacteria
Description: partial 16S ribosomal RNA
Rfam family: Bacterial small subunit ribosomal RNA
Source: RNAcentral
UACAGAGGUCUCAAGCGUUGUUCGGAUUCAUUGGGCGUAAAGGGUGCGUAGGCGGCGCGGUAAGUCGGGCGUGAAAUCUCGGAGCUUAACUCCGAAACUGCAUUCGAUACUGCCGUGCUUGAGGACUGGAGAGGAGACUGGAAUUUACGGUGUAGCGGUGAAAUGCGUAGAUAUCGUAAGGAAGACCGGUGGCGAAGGCGGGUCUCUGGACAGUUCCUGACGCUGAGGCACGAAGGUCAGGGGAGCAAACGGG